This 294-nucleotide ribosomal RNA is filed under the name uncultured bacterium. Its description in RNAcentral is "partial 16S ribosomal RNA". It matches the Rfam family "Bacterial small subunit ribosomal RNA", at positions 775 to 1067 of the family's 1533-position model. The record is from RNAcentral.
GGAUUAGAUACCCUGGUAGUCCACGCCGUAAACGAUGAUCACUAGUGGUAUGAGGUUUCGACCCCUUGUGUCACAAAGCUAACGCGUUAAGUGAUCCGCCUGGGGAGUACGAACGCAAGUUUAAAACUCAAAGGAAUUGACGGGGACCCGCACAAGCGGUGGAGGAUGUGGUUUAAUUCGAAGCUACGCGAAGAACCUUACCGAGGUUUGACAUCCCAGGAAGGCCGCCGAAAGGUGGCUGUGCCUUCGGGAACCUGGUGACAGGUGCUGCAUGGCCGUCGUCAGCUCGUGCCG